Molecule: ribosomal RNA, 253 nt
Filed under: uncultured bacterium
Lineage: Bacteria
Description: partial 16S ribosomal RNA
Rfam family: Bacterial small subunit ribosomal RNA
Source: RNAcentral
UACGUAGGGUGCGAGCGUUAAUCGGAAUUACUGGGCGUAAAGCGUGCGCAGGCGGUUAUGUAAGACAGGUGUGAAAUCCCAGGGCUUAACCUUGGAACUGCAUUUGUGACUGCAUAGCUAGAGUACGGUAGAGGGGGAUGGAAUUCCGCGUGUAGCAGUGAAAUGCGUAGAUAUGCGGAGGAACACCGAUGGCGAAGGCAAUCCCCUGGACCUGUACUGACGCUCAUGCACGAAAGCGUGGGGGGCAAACAGG